This 219-nucleotide unclassified non-coding RNA is filed under the name Hevea brasiliensis (rubber tree). The record is from RNAcentral. Lineage: Eukaryota; Viridiplantae; Streptophyta; Magnoliopsida; Malpighiales; Euphorbiaceae.
GUGCAUCUUAUGAACGGGGAAAUACGCCAAUGAACAAAAUAGGAUAACUAAUAUGGAAAGCAAUACAAAGCAUAUAGUCAUAUGGUAACAAAUAUCAAAAGGCAAGAAACUAGAUGAAUAAGGCUAAUACUGCGACAUACAUGAUGCUCCGGACUAUCACCAAGCCUAAUCCCACUGAAAAGCGUGAUAACACCUACUAACCUUCUAUCUUAAUCUACG